RNAcentral lists this ribosomal RNA (754 nucleotides) under uncultured Diversispora. RNAcentral describes it as "SSU rRNA". It matches the Rfam family "Eukaryotic small subunit ribosomal RNA", at positions 339 to 1092 of the family's 1831-position model. The record is from RNAcentral. Lineage: Eukaryota; Fungi; Glomeromycota; Glomeromycetes; Diversisporales; Diversisporaceae.
GCCUACCAUGGUUUUAACGGGUAACGGGGAAUUAGGGUUCGAUUCCGGAGAGGGAGCCUGAGAAACGGCUACCACAUCCAAGGAAGGCAGCAGGCGCGCAAAUUACCCAAUCCCGACACGGGGAGGUAGUGACAAUAAAUAACAAUACGGGGCUCAUUUGGGUCUCGUAAUUGGAAUGAGUACAAUUUAAAUCCCUUAACGAGGAACAAUUGGAGGGCAAGUCUGGUGCCAGCAGCCGCGGUAAUUCCAGCUCCAAUAGCGUAUAUUAAAGUUGUUGCAGUUAAAAAGCUCGUAGUUGAACUUCGGGGUUCACCCAUUGGUCAGGCUUAAUUGUCUGCACUGGUGAGAUGAGUCUCUACCUUCUGAGGAACUUUCAUGCCAUUUAUUUGGUGUGAUUGGAAAUCAGGACUGUUACUUUGAAAAAAUUAGAGUGUUUAAAGCAGGCUAACGUCUGAAUACAUUAGCAUGGAAUAAUGAAAUAGGACGGACUGAUUCUAUUUCGUUGGUUUCUAGGAUCACCGUAAUGAUUAAUAGGGAUAGUUGGGGGCAUUAGUAUUCAAUUGUCAGAGGUGAAAUUCUUGGAUUUAUUGAAGACUAACUACUGCGAAAGCAUUUGCCAAGGAUGUUUUCAUUAAUCAAGAACGAAAGUUAGGGGAUCGAAGACGAUCAGAUACCGUCGUAGUCUUAACCAUAAACUAUGCCGACUAGGGAUCGGACGAAGUUAAUUUUAUAAUGACGCGUUCGGCACCUUACG